CCUGCCGGCGACCGGCGCACGGGUGAGUAACACGUAUGCGACCUGCCCCCCGCAGGGGGAUAACCGGGAGAAAUCCGACUAAUACCGCGUAACGCCGCGGACCUGCAUGGGGUCUGCGGCCAAAGGAAGCGAUUCCGGCGGGGGAUGGGCAUGCGGCGCAUUAGCUAGUCGGCGGGGUAACGGCCCACCGAGGCGACGAUGCGUAGGGGGUUCUGAGAGGAAGGUCCCCCCACACUGGUACUGAGACACGGACCAGACUCCUACGGGAGGCAGCAG
This 276-nucleotide ribosomal RNA is filed under the name uncultured bacterium. Its description in RNAcentral is "partial 16S ribosomal RNA". It matches the Rfam family "Bacterial small subunit ribosomal RNA", at positions 84 to 354 of the family's 1533-position model. The record is from RNAcentral.